GCCUUCGUGGUGUAGUGGCAGCACGCUCGACUCGUAACCGAGAGAACGUGGUUCGAUUCCUGGCAAAGACG
RNAcentral lists this transfer RNA (71 nucleotides) under Stegodyphus mimosarum. It matches the Rfam family "tRNA". From Rfam's summary of the family: Transfer RNA (tRNA) molecules are approximately 80 nucleotides in length. Their secondary structure includes four short double-helical elements and three loops (D, anti-codon, and T loops). Further hydrogen bonds mediate the characteristic L-shaped molecular structure. tRNAs have two regions of fundamental functional importance: the anti-codon, which is responsible for specific mRNA codon recognition, and the 3' end, to which the tRNAs corresponding amino acid is attached (by aminoacyl-tRNA synthetases). tRNAs cope with the degeneracy of the genetic code in two manners: having more than one tRNA (with a specific anti-codon) for a particular amino acid; and 'wobble' base-pairing, i.e. permitting non-standard base-pairing at the 3rd anti-codon position. The record is from Rfam by way of RNAcentral. Lineage: Eukaryota; Metazoa; Arthropoda; Arachnida; Araneae; Eresidae.